AGUCACAGGGUUGAGAUAAUUUUGCAGCACACCUUAGUAUCUUGCUUCCACCUCCACUCCCCAAAGUACCUUCCCCUGUUGGUAGAUCUUCACAUGAUCUGUUUGGCGGUCUGCAGACAUUUUUGCUGGACAAUUUUCAUCUUGCCCAAGGAUAUGGAAACUCCACUUAUUUACCCAGAGUUGAGAAAUCUUCGGAGAGGCUCCAAGCGGUAGUUCCCGAGAGUUCCACACUGGAUUUGCAGAUCUGCGGAACGCUGAGGACCUGAGCAUGACAACCUGUGAAUGCUGGGCAAGCAUGGUGGGCCAGGGGAAUGGAAAGCUCAACUUUCCAAAAGACCCCUGGGGGUGAGAGUCAGCCAAAUAAUUAAUAAAGUCUGAUGUUCUUGCUGGAUGUAGAGAAUAGAAAAUACUUUCAAA
Molecule: long non-coding RNA, 417 nt
Organism: Carlito syrichta (Philippine tarsier)
Lineage: Eukaryota; Metazoa; Chordata; Mammalia; Primates; Tarsiidae
Exons: 3
Source: RefSeq, a predicted model, not a curated record